CAGUAGCCGCGGUAAUACGUAGGUGGCAAGCGUUGUCCGGAAUUAUUGGGCGUAAAGGGCUCGCAGGCGGUUUCUUAAGUCUGAUGUGAAAGCCCCCGGCUCAACCGGGGAGGGUCAUUGGAAACUGGGAAACUUGAGUGCAGAAGAGGAGAGUGGAAUUCCACGUGUAGCGGUGAAAUGCGUAGAGAUGUGGAGGAACACCAGUGGUGAAGGCGACUCUCUGGUCUGUAGCUGACGCUGAGGAGCGAAAGCGUGGGGAGCGAACAGGAUUAGAUACCCCAGUAGUCCCUGUCUCUUAUAC
This 301-nucleotide ribosomal RNA is filed under the name uncultured bacterium. RNAcentral describes it as "partial 16S ribosomal RNA". It matches the Rfam family "Bacterial small subunit ribosomal RNA", at positions 509 to 807 of the family's 1533-position model. The record is from RNAcentral.